UUCAAAGCUUUGAAAAACAUGUUGACUCUACUGUUAGGGACUAAUGCAGCUGGUAACUUUAAGUUGAAGCCAAUGCUCAUUUACCGUUCUGAAAAUCCUAAGACCCUUAAAAACUAUACAACAAGCCAGGUGUAAUGGUGCACCUCUACAGUCUAUCCUCAGUGGAAAAACAACGCCUGGAUAGCAGCUAACCCAUUUACAGCAUGUUUUACUGAAGAAAAAAAAAAAAUUUUUUUUUUUUUUUUUUGAGGAGUCUUGCUCUGUUGCCCAGGCUGGAGUGCAGUGGCACGA
This is a long non-coding RNA of Sapajus apella (tufted capuchin), 291 nucleotides long. RefSeq lists it as uncharacterized. The transcript has 3 exons. The record is from RefSeq and is a predicted model, not a curated record. NCBI's taxonomy places the organism in Eukaryota, Metazoa, Chordata, Mammalia, Primates, Cebidae.